RNAcentral lists this ribosomal RNA (236 nucleotides) under uncultured bacterium. RNAcentral describes it as "partial 16S ribosomal RNA". It matches the Rfam family "Bacterial small subunit ribosomal RNA", at positions 99 to 334 of the family's 1533-position model. The record is from RNAcentral.
CGGACGGGUGAGUAACGCGUGGGUAACCGUGCCUCACACAGGGGGAUAGCAGUUGGAAACGACUGGUAAUACCGCAUAAGCGCACAGCUUCGCAUGAAGCGGUGUGAAAAACUCCGGUGGUGUGAGAUGGACCCGCGUUGGAUUAGCUAGUUGGUGAGGUAACGGCCCACCAAGGCGACGAUCCAUAGCCGACCUGAGAGGGUGACCGGCCACAUUGGGACUGAGACACGGCCCAA